This is a non-coding RNA of Pantherophis guttatus, 651 nucleotides long. Lineage: Eukaryota; Metazoa; Chordata; Lepidosauria; Squamata; Colubridae. The record is from RefSeq and is a predicted model, not a curated record.
AUCCUAUAUGGAGAUAUUCCCGGAUAACGAUUCCUCUUAUAAUCCUGCUGGUUCCACUUGCCUUUUAUUGCUGGAAGAAGAGGAGCACAUCUCCACCCAAGGAACAAUCUCAGCUUGCAGAAAAGAAAGAGGAAGCAGGUGACCUUGGAAUGAUGGAGCCUCCAGCAGCAAGAGCAGCUACACCUUCCCCUGUCAAGGACUCUGAGGUCACCUACUGCAACAUCCCGGACUUCUUCACUCCGUCUUCUCCUGGACGAACCAGGAAGAAUCUUCUUACUCAAGAGAAAACAGGGAAGACAUUGUACUGUAACCUUAAUGUGUCUCAACUCAAAAAGAAGCAGCAAAAUCAUCCCUGAUUGCAGCAAAUUGUGCCUCUCUUGGUCCAGUCCCUUAUUAGGCCUAAACAUGGACAUCACCCUUGAAGAGAUGAUGAGGGGCAACUGAGCUUCAGUUUACGGCAGAAGAGAAAACCCAUCAAAUAGGGAAAAAUCCUGGGCAUAAUCUUAUUCUAGGAGUCUGUCAGGGAAUUGCGCAGCCGGUGUUCCAAAUGGAGUCAGAGACGCUGACACAAACUUGUAGUUUUAUAUAAAUAAAUAUAUUUUUCAACUACAGGUAGUACUUGACUUACAACAGGUCGUUUAGUGACCAUCU